RNAcentral lists this long non-coding RNA (871 nucleotides) under Homo sapiens (human). Its description in RNAcentral is "long intergenic non-protein coding RNA 2693". The record is from RNAcentral. Lineage: Eukaryota; Metazoa; Chordata; Mammalia; Primates; Hominidae.
GCGCCCGGCCGGCGUGGCUGGCUGUUUGAGGACUGCGCGCGGAGCUCCGUGGCGGGUGUCUGAAGUCGUGAGUUUACUGCUUGUAAGGAACAUAGCGAUCACUGGGAACCUGGAAGUAGAGACUCCUUUCUGCCAUCCAUCCGUCCCUCGGGCUGCUGCGAAUCCCCCCGCCGGCCUCCAGGACCCCGGGCUGACUGAACGCCCGCACCGGUCCCGCCGCCCCAGGGCCCGCUACGCGCCCGGCAUAAUGGGAGAAAAAUCACGACGGAAAGGCCCAGCCCCUCGCCAUGCAGACGGGAAGCUUGGCCGCACGUGUGAUCACCCUUACGCCCCUUGGAGUUUCACCCCCUCUUCGCGGGCUCCAACAGCCUGGGUCAGGCCUCCUUGUCCUGUGUGGGCCUCUCGGCUGCAAGAACACAGUCCCGAGCCCCGGCGAGCCCGCGCGCCUCCCACCCGCCGUGCACAGGCUGCACUUUACGCCCCAGCACUGCGCCUGCGGGACCAUCUGGAUCGCUUUUCCAUUCUGAUGACGUCCUGUACUUCGUGGCUGCAGGCUCCUCAAGCCCCAGGUCUGUGCAGAGACGAGCAAAGCAGCAGAAUAUCCGUGCCACAGCUUUCUGGAGCACCCAUUUUACUACCAGAUUUGGAAGGAACGAAGUUAAGUAAUUUCCAAGAAUCAUCUCCCCUGCCCCACAAACAUGAAAGAAAAGACAAGAGAAGCACCCCAGAAGAGGAGGGGAGAAGUGCCCCAGAAAAAAUCAUCCAGUCUCUGAAGCUUUGCCCAGCCAGUCUCCACCUCCAAAACAAGACUCAGAAAAAGGUGUGAAGCUCAAGUCGGAUGACCAUGACCCACGCGUGGCCACGGACGGGC